RNAcentral lists this ribosomal RNA (253 nucleotides) under uncultured bacterium. RNAcentral describes it as "partial 16S ribosomal RNA". It matches the Rfam family "Bacterial small subunit ribosomal RNA", at positions 524 to 776 of the family's 1533-position model. The record is from RNAcentral.
UACGAAGGGUGCAAGCGUUACUCGGAAUUACUGGGCGUAAAGCGUGCGUAGGUGGUGAGUUAAGUCUGUCGUGAAAGCCCCGGGCUCAACCUGGGAAUGGCGAUGGAUACUGGCUCGCUAGAGUGCGGUAGAGGAGAGUGGAAUUCCCGGUGUAGCGGUGAAAUGCGCAGAUAUCGGGAAGAACACCCGUGGCGAAGGCGGCUCUCUGGGACGGUACUGACGCUGAGACGCGAAAGCGUGGGGAGCGAACAGG